RNAcentral lists this transfer RNA (63 nucleotides) under Phyllotreta undulata. RNAcentral describes it as "tRNA-Thr". Lineage: Eukaryota; Metazoa; Arthropoda; Insecta; Coleoptera; Chrysomelidae. The record is from RNAcentral.
GUUUUAGUAAUUUAAAUAAAAAUAUUGAUCUUGUAAAUCAAAAAUAAGUCUCCUUCUAAAACU